Molecule: ribosomal RNA, 293 nt
Filed under: Clostridioides difficile
Lineage: Bacteria; Bacillati; Bacillota; Clostridia; Peptostreptococcales; Peptostreptococcaceae
Description: partial 23S ribosomal RNA
Rfam family: Bacterial large subunit ribosomal RNA
Source: RNAcentral
GGUCAAGUUAUUAAGGGUGCAGGGCGGAUGCCUUGGCACUAGGAGCCGAUGAAGGACGUGAUAAGCUGCGAUAAGCUUCGGGGAGUUGCACGUAAACUUUGAUCCGAAGAUUUCCGAAUGAGGAAACUCACUUAGAGUAAUGUCUAAGUAUCAUUAAGUGAAUACAUAGCUUAAUGAGGGGAACUCAGGGAACUGAAACAUCUAAGUACCUGAAGGAAGAGAAAGAAAUUCGAUUCCGUAAGUAGCGGCGAGCGAACGCGGAUUAGCCCAAACCAAUAAAGUUUUCUUUAUUG